CAUAAUCCAUUUUGUAAGUCGCUCUGGAUAAGAGCGUCUGCUAAAUGACUUAAA
This is a non-coding RNA of Salmo salar (Atlantic salmon), 54 nucleotides long. Lineage: Eukaryota; Metazoa; Chordata; Actinopteri; Salmoniformes; Salmonidae. The record is from Rfam.